RNAcentral lists this ribosomal RNA (24 nucleotides) under Leishmania major. Its description in RNAcentral is "partial 18S ribosomal RNA". The record is from RNAcentral. Lineage: Eukaryota; Euglenozoa; Kinetoplastea; Trypanosomatida; Trypanosomatidae.
GUGAACCUGCAGCUGGAUCAUUUU